AGAUUCUACAACUAGGAAUGGGUGAUGCCUUAGAUGAUUGGUUGAUAGAGAAAAUCCAGCUUCUGCGUACUGGUUCAGUGGUUGCUUCAGGGAUCAAGCGGGUGGAACAGAUACUUUGGCCUGAUGGGAUAUUCAUUACCAAACAUCCAAAGAGACGGCCACCAUCCACCUCCAACUCAUCCCAUAGCUCACCUCAUGGCCAGCAACCCAUCAAUGAGUCUUCACCUAAACUAAGUUCACCUCUAGGUCGGCAACACACAGAAAUAUCUUCACCUAGACUAAGUGAUGAGCAACUAAAACAUGAAGCAGACCGACGUGCUAAAUUUGUAUAUGAGCUGAUGAUUGAUAAUGCACCAGCCG
This 360-nucleotide unclassified non-coding RNA is filed under the name Hevea brasiliensis (rubber tree). Lineage: Eukaryota; Viridiplantae; Streptophyta; Magnoliopsida; Malpighiales; Euphorbiaceae. The record is from RNAcentral.